Molecule: ribosomal RNA, 468 nt
Filed under: uncultured bacterium
Lineage: Bacteria
Description: partial 16S ribosomal RNA
Rfam family: Bacterial small subunit ribosomal RNA
Source: RNAcentral
GACGAACGCUGGCGGCGUGCUUAACACAUGCAAGUCGAACGGAAAGGCCCUGCUUUUGUGGGGUGCUCGAGUGGCGAACGGGUGAGUAACACGUGAGUAACCUGCCCUUGACUUUGGGAUAACUUCAGGAAACUGGGGCUAAUACCGGAUAGGAGCUCCUGCGGCAUGGUGGGGGUUGGAAAGUUUCGGCGGUUGGGGAUGGACUCGCGGCUUAUCAGCUUGUUGGUGGGGUAGGGGCUUACCAAGGCUUUGACGGGUAGCCGGCCUGAGAGGGUGACCGGCCACAUUGGGACUGAGCUACGGCCCAGACUCCUACGGGAGGCAGCAGUGGGGAAUAUUGCACAAUGGGCGGAAGCCUGAUGCAGCAACGCCGCGUGCGGGAUGACGGCCUUCGGGUUGUAAACCGCUUUCGCCUGUGACGAAGCGUGAGUGACGGUAAUGGGUAAAGAAGCACCGGCUAACUACGUG